Molecule: ribosomal RNA, 412 nt
Filed under: uncultured bacterium
Lineage: Bacteria
Description: bacterial SSU rRNA
Rfam family: Bacterial small subunit ribosomal RNA
Source: RNAcentral
GUGCCAGCAGCCGCGGUAAUACGUAGGGGGCAAGCGUUGUCCGGAAUUAUUGGGCGUAAAGCGCGCGCAGGCGGUCAUUUAAGUUUGGUGUUUAAGCCCGGGGCUCAACCCCGGAUCGCACUGAAAACUGGGUGACUUGAGUGCGGGAGAGGAAAGUGGAAUUCCACGUGUAGCGGUGAAAUGCGUAGCGAUGUGGAGGAACACCAGUGGCGAAGGCGACUUUCUGGACCGUAACUGACGCUGAGGCGCGAAAGCGUGGGGAGCAAACAGGAUUAGAUCCCCUGGUAGUCCACGCCGUAAACGAUGAGUGCUAGGUGUUAGGGGUUUCGAUACCCUUGGUGCCGAAGUCAACACAGUAAGCACUCCGCCUGGGGAGUACGCUCGCAAGAGUGGAACUCAAAUGAAUUGGCGG